UGUUAAUGCUACGGAUUCUUCCUCCAAGAAUGAAAACCAUCCAUUUAAACAUACACGGGGAAUAAAGACAGACAAAAGGCGGCUGUUUUCCUGAUGCUUGACCCAGCCCACUGUGC
This 116-nucleotide long non-coding RNA is filed under the name Chinchilla lanigera (long-tailed chinchilla). RNAcentral's name for it is "lncRNA (ENSCLAG00000023366.1)". Lineage: Eukaryota; Metazoa; Chordata; Mammalia; Rodentia; Chinchillidae. The record is from RNAcentral.